GGGGAUCUUUCUGACUUCUCUUCUUAUUGGAGAUCUUCUUUUCUUUCGCCUAUCUAUGGAGCUCCUAAGCUUCCUCCAUCUGGGCAUACUUUCAAGCUUGGACCAGUACGUUGGCAUAGUCCUUUAGAAACUUCUUGUCAAGAGAGAAGGCAAGGCGCUCAUUCUGUAAGCCUUGCUUGAGCACCAACAUUGCUACUGACUGGUUGAGAUAUCAUACCUCAAGUGUGGUGGAAUUGAAGC
Molecule: long non-coding RNA, 240 nt
Filed under: Elaeis guineensis (African oil palm)
Lineage: Eukaryota; Viridiplantae; Streptophyta; Magnoliopsida; Arecales; Arecaceae
Description: long non-coding RNA (EGUI_LNC015159)
Source: RNAcentral